RNAcentral lists this small RNA (1107 nucleotides) under Arabidopsis thaliana (thale cress). RNAcentral's name for it is "ATSL204820". The record is from RNAcentral. Lineage: Eukaryota; Viridiplantae; Streptophyta; Magnoliopsida; Brassicales; Brassicaceae.
AUUAUUGCUUCCACAUUUUGAUGGUUUUAGCCUCUUCUAGGAGAAAAUGGGUAUAAGUGUUGUUAAAACACUCCUAAUGUAUCUCUAACUCAUAUAAUUAAUCAAAUGCUUUGGAUUGUGACAAAUUUUGACCAUAACAACACUAACAAAGCUAUAUACUGUUUCUAAGCAAUUUUUUGUUGGUUUUAGCCUCUUUUGGGACAAAAUGGGUAACUGUUUUCUAAACACUACUAAUCCAUCUUUAACUCGCCUCAUUAGUCAAAUGCAUUGGAUUCUGACACAUAUUAACCAUCGAAACACUAACAAACCUAUUGACUGCUUCUAAGCAAUGUUUUGUUGGUUUUAGCCUCUUUUGGGACAAAAUGGGUAAGUGUUUUCUAAACACUCCUAAUCCAUCUUUAACUUGCCUAAUUAGUCAAAUGCAUUGGAUUGUGACACAUUUUAACCAUCGAAACACUAACAAACCUAUUGAUUGCUUCUAAGCAAUAUUUUGUUGGUUUUAGCCUCUUUUGGGAGAAAAUGAGUGUAAAUGUUGUCUGAAUACUCCUAAUAAAUCUCUACCUUUUAUAAUUAGUCUAAUACAUUGGAUUCUGACACAUAUUAACCAUAGAAACACUAAGAAAGCUAUUAACUGAUUUUAAGCAAUUUUUUGUUGGUUUUACCCUCUUUUGGGAGAAAAUGGUUAUAAGUGUUGUCUAAACAUUCAUACUCCAUCUAUAACUCUUAAAAUUAGUCAAAUACAUUAGAUUGUGACACAAUUUGUCCAUAGAAACACUAACAAGGCUACUGACUACUUCUCAGCAAUUUUUAAUUGGUUUUAGCCUCUUUUUAGAGAAAUAGGUGUAAGUGUUGUCUGAAAACUCCUAAUCAAUCUCUAACUCUUAUAAUUAGUCAAAUGCAUUGGAUUGUAACACAUUUUGACCAUAGAAACACUAACAAACCUGUUUACUGGUUCUAAGCAAUUUUUCGUUGGUUUUAACCUCUUUUUGGAGAAAAUGGGUAUAAGUGUUGUCCAAACACUCCUAAUUCAUCUCUAACUCUUCUAACUAGUAAAAUGCAUUGGAUUUUGACAUAUUUUAACCAUAGAAAUACUAAUAAAGCUAUUGA